This is a long non-coding RNA of Clupea harengus (Atlantic herring), 2122 nucleotides long. NCBI's taxonomy places the organism in Eukaryota, Metazoa, Chordata, Actinopteri, Clupeiformes, Clupeidae. The record is from Ensembl.
ACAUGACUGCAAGGAAAGUUUAACAUAGAACACCACCCCUCCACUGUACACUGUGACCAAGUGUCCCAACCAUAUUAUGUAAAUGCAACUUAGGCUAGAAACGCAUAACCUAAUAGUUUAGUUACUGGCUACUAUACCGUCAGAGCACUGGCAUACUUCAUUUGACCAGUAGUUCGUUAGUUAUGGUUAGUUUUCGUUCUUAAACCGCGCCCCCCUUAACGUAACUCUGCAGCCGAUCGUUACAAAUAAUUAUUCAGAACUGCUAUAACCGUAGUUCGGCUCUGCUAAUCGUUUUGUUAGAAACAUCAGUUUCUCAUCUCAUCUGGAUACUUUGGGAAUGGGUGCAGCACAGUCGAUUCCGGUGGUCGGAGAAAUCGUCACUGCUGUUGAUAGCAGUGUGAAGAUAGUUGUAGCAGGUGGUUGCGCUCUUGCAGGAGAGAUACUAGACGACCAGGAUGCUAAAGAUGCUGCCAAAAAGUUUGUAAAGGAUGCUGGGAAUUCUUGGGUUGAAUAUUCCGAGAGAAGUCUAAUUGUUGCUCCAGUUCGUGCAGCUGUUCAUAGUGCUGCUGGUGACGAGGCUGAAGCGAAGAGAGUCCUGAAGAAGAUGGGUAAAUCAACUGAGCAAGUUAUUGACAGCACUCCAGUUGUUGGGCACGUAAAAGGUGUAGUUCACUACGCAAUGGGGGAUAAGGAACAUGGUCAUGAUUGCAUGAAGGGUGCCAGUCGCACAUUGGUUGUGGUGGGAGCUGGAGCUCUAACUGGUGGAGUUGGAGGAGGAUUCGUUCUUGGUGGACUAGCAGGCGCAUCAGGUGGUGUUGCGUACGAUGGAACGAUAUCUGCAAUUGAAAGUAAGCCUUAUGGAAUUGUAGAAUCUAUCGACCAGGCAAUUGAAUCUGAUAAAAAGAGAGAUGGUCACGGUUUCCUCAACUCAGCAAUAAAUGUUGCAUACUCUGUUACCGGAGAUUUUCUUACCGGAGCUACUGCGGCAAAGGGCACCAAGGAGUUGAACAAAGCUUCAAAGCAAAGGAAAGUGUUGAAAAAUGAAAUUGGAAAAGACGCCGCCAAGGAUGUUGUAGACACUGGCAAGAAGUUAAAAAAAGUAAUGAAGAAAGUAAAUGGAGAUGACCACGUUUGCACGAAAGCCAAAAACCUGGAAACAGGAAACGAAACUUACGGGACAAACAAACGGUGCAGACAAGAGAUGAGAAUGAAUGAGUAUGCCUCGAAAGGUGAAGCUAGUGGAUACACCAGUAAAACAAAUGCUAGGAAAGGACAUGUCGGUGAAUUCCCAAGAAAGGCAGGAAUCCUUGAAAAAACAGCAAAUGAGAUGAAUAUGGAUAUUGAGCCGAAAGUAAGCAAUCGAGCUCUAAAUGCUUGUGCUGAACAUCAUGCCAUUGAGAAGCUGGGUACUCACGGGCCGAAACUAAUAUCCGUACAACUACUGUCAAGUCUAGUAAUGGGCAUAUCACAGCUAUAAAGAGAUGCGACAAUUGUAUGCAGUUCGACCCUCUGAUGGGAGAUGUGCCCACCGAUGGUAUUCAUGGGAUGCCUGUACCUACACGUCAGUUCGUUCUUGAUACGUCCCUGCCCGCUGUAAAAAGCGCUGCUGGGUUUGCUGCAGGCGCAGUUGCAGUGUGUGUUGCCUGUGGAGAGAGUGAUGACUGUAGCUGCGUACAAUUUUGACUUGAGUUGUGCUGCACAAAACAGGAACUAGAUGUAUCCUUUAGUUUCCUGAUAUUGUCCUACUCUGUCUCUGGAUUAUUUCCUGUUGGCCCCUUUUCUGCAAACGUGUGUCCUAGACAGAGCCUAUUCUUGCAACACAUGUCCUGUUAUGUAGAGCCAAAUUAAGCAAUAGUAAUUAAGUAUUUGUGAAUCAUAAGUAAGUGUAGUUGAAAAUGCUCAGAGAGUGAACAAAGCAGAACUAAUUGAAAACACUGCGUAAAGGAACACUUUAUUCUAAAUAAGAACAAGGACUAGACUAACACGGAUAUAUUGAAGUUCAACGACUACCUACCUGUCUAAAAGCAUUUAUUUUUUUCAAUUUUGUACAUUUAAUUUGCCUCCAUUUGAUCACAAAUAAAACAAAUAUUCCUUUGCACAGGUUUGACCUGUCUUCCUUCUG